Pongo abelii (Sumatran orangutan) is the source of this 148-nucleotide unclassified non-coding RNA. It matches the Rfam family "Metazoan signal recognition particle RNA". From Rfam's summary of the family: The signal recognition particle (SRP) is a universally conserved ribonucleoprotein. NCBI's taxonomy places the organism in Eukaryota, Metazoa, Chordata, Mammalia, Primates, Hominidae. The record is from Ensembl.
GCUGGGCGUGUUGGCACGUGCCUGUAAUCCCAGCUACUCAGGAGGCUAAGACAGGAGAAUCACUUGAACCCAGGAGGUGGAGGUUGCAGUGAGCAGAGAUCAUGCCACUACACUCCAGCCUGGGUGAUAGAGUGAGACUCUGUCUAAA